GUCCUUUAUACCAACAGACCCAUGUCCGAUAUGAGGACCAAUCUAGCAGAUCGCAAAGAUUUUCCAGGCCCCUUAUUAGUACCCUUUCCAGUUCCAGGACGUCCCUUUUGUGAACCGAUGCCCAAAACUGAACAGAAAAUUCUAGCACAUCUGUGAUGAGAAGGAAGCAGAGAGACCGGAAGAAGUUCCACACUGGAACGAAACGGAUGUUGUCUUUAGUAACUCGCGUCUCUGUACUCCACUCCCCACCUGCCUGCACCCCCUUGUCUCUGAUGAGAUGUUUUAAGACACAAGAAUAAAUAAGUAUUUUUGAUACUCUGGUUCUGAGUGCCACACUAUGCACAUUUGGCUUAUUCAAUGGACAUGCAGAGAAGGUUUUUUUUUCUUCUAUUGACUGCCUAGCACUGUAAGAUUGCCAGACAACCCAUUAAAGGCUGUCAUUAGACACAGAAGUUUUUGAGCCAAAAUCAGAAGUGGAUCGAGCAAGAAAGAGUGCAAAAAAUCCUUCCUUUAUAUUCCCCAUUUCUUUAGAAU
Long non-coding RNA from Hyla sarda, 534 nucleotides. RefSeq lists it as uncharacterized. The record is from RefSeq and is a predicted model, not a curated record. The transcript is spliced from 5 exons. NCBI's taxonomy places the organism in Eukaryota, Metazoa, Chordata, Amphibia, Anura, Hylidae.